Molecule: long non-coding RNA, 1888 nt
Organism: Gallus gallus (chicken)
Lineage: Eukaryota; Metazoa; Chordata; Aves; Galliformes; Phasianidae
Source: Ensembl
CUUGGAGCCUCACCUGCCUACAGGGACACAGCUCACAAGGACUCUUGCAAUUGCUGGGUGAGAAUCCAGGAUAACCUGCAGACUGGAAGUGCUGGGCUCUCCUGCUGGCAUGGUUGUGCUGGAGCCGCUGGUCCUGCAUCAGCUGGAGCUGAGCAAGAAGCAGUGCCAUCAGCAUGCUCCAGAAUUCUGGAUUCUACAGCUUAUGUUAAAUGGACAAUUUUGCAUAAAAGAAAAAGACAUGGCUUGCACAAAAAAAUUCCAUCCUAUUGUAUACCACCAUGUUACCAAUUGAGAAAAAUCUAUGGACCAUUGCCUUCAGGAUUCUUAAAGCACAGUAGAUGGCUGGGAUUCAACUUGUGGUGCUACCACUGACGUUCUGUGUAAGGCCUGUAUAUGCAGACAAGUAAUUUUCCAGAAAUAGAAUUUGUUGCUUUAUCUAUUCAGGGUAAACUGUUUGUGCAUUAUUGAUCUUGUAGGCAGACAUAACUACAUGGGAAAACACAGUAGCGAAAAAAGUUGGAGUUUGUUUGACCUUUUCAGUAUUUGAUACAAUUUUAAUUGUACAAAACAUCUAUAAAUAAGAAAAUAAUUCUGUAAAUUUCCAGAUCAAAGCUGCAAGCAGUUGCAUUGCUUGUUCUGGUGCUUACCUUGAAGAAGAUUAUAACCUCUUCAUAAAUUCAUGUAAUUUGUGGACAUCUAUGGCAAUUAUACUGUGUUGACACAUUAAAUUGAUUAUACAAGACAAACUCUAAUUAAAUGGCAGCCUUCCAAUUUUAACAAAGCUAUAAUUUAUUUUUUGAAUGCUUUCUUAUGUGGUUCAUUUUCUCCUUCCAAUUCUGAUUUUGUUUUUCUUGACAUCUGUUUUUGGUAUUAUAGUGGCCUUUGACUUGCUGAACCUCCCAGGUACUACUGCAGUGUAGAGGGAAAUAAAUAAGGGGCAUCAUGCAUGCAUCAGGAUUCUUCUAGAUGUGGCUUGUAUCACUCAAAAAUAUUUUUCAAAAGAUGUGCAUUUUUUACCUUUCUCUUGAUCCUUGCAUAUCCAGCCAUCCACUUUCAUUUUCUGAACAUCACUUUAAACCAGACACUGUUUUUGUGGACCUUAAUACGUUUUUACAGUGCACAUGAUAUUCAUCUGCGUAGCACAGAAAUGUUAAUUCAAGCACUAGAACUGGCUACCUAGCAAAGUGGCUGAUGCCCCAUGCCUGUCAUUGUCCAAGAGGCAUUCAGAUAAUGCCAUCAAUAACAUGCUGUAACUUCUGGUUAGCUCUGAAAUGGUCAGGAAGCUGGACAGGAAGAUCCUUCUACUGUGCCUUCCAUCUGAACUUUUUUAUUCUACUCUACUGUACUCUACUCUGUUCAACAUUUCCUGCUAAAUAUCAUUUUCUGUGUUAUCAUUUUUGUGAUAAAUGCUAAGGCUAAACACAGGAAGCUUGAAAACUCUCACAGGAAGACUGCAACUGUUUGAAUGACUGAAAGAAGUUCCAUUCUUCAGGGAAACUCUUCUUCAUAUUUCAUUUUCAAUAGGGAACAAUUAUAGAUGCUCUGAAGGAGUGCACUCUGAAUUCAUGGACAUCCCUGAAAUUGAGGAAUGCUUUUAGGCCACUCAUGACUCUAGAAAUGUCAUGAACCUUAACUACAUCACCUUAAGAAUGGAGUAAAUAGCAAGGACCAAGUUCCUUCAUUGAGAGAAAAAAAAAUAACUGAUUUGCCUACAUUUGUGACUUGGAAAAUGUAGCAGUGGUACAAGAUAAGAGGUACAACGCAAAGAGGUUCCUGCUAAUAUCCCUGCAAAUGUGUUUUCAGGUCAGUUUUACAGCCCUGAAAAAGUUAGGUUGUUGUUCUGAAGUUCCCACAAGCUGUCAUACUUCAGCAUCUUCUCAGAGAGAAC